RNAcentral lists this ribosomal RNA (251 nucleotides) under uncultured bacterium. Its description in RNAcentral is "partial 16S ribosomal RNA". It matches the Rfam family "Bacterial small subunit ribosomal RNA", at positions 524 to 772 of the family's 1533-position model. The record is from RNAcentral.
UACGGGGGGAGCAAGCGUUGUUCGGAUUUACUGGGCGUAAAGGGCGCGUAGGCGGUCGUGACAAGUCACUUGUGAAAUCUCCGGGCUUAACUCGGAACGGUCAAGUGAUACUGUCGGACUAGAGUACAGAAGGGGCGAACUGGAAUUCUCGGUGUAGCGGUGAAAUGCGUAGAUAUCGAGAGGAACACCUGCGGCGAAGGCGGGUUGCUGGGCUGAUACUGACGCUGAGGCGCGAAAGCCAGGGGAGGCGA